AUGUCCGACCAGCAGCCAGCUGCCCUCCACGCCCCUCCCCCUCGUCUCAUCCCUUUCCCCGCCCUCACCCUUGCCCUCCACAUCCCCAUCUUCCCCAGCAAGCGCACAAAGUCCCCUCCGCCGGCUCCCAGCCCGCCGCCGGAGGCCGUCACCGACGAGGAUAGCGAGGCGGGGGUGACCUCAGACGUGGGCGGCGUCGAGAAGUUCAACUACAUCCUCAUCCGCACCAACAUCCUCGUCUCCCACGGCCACGUCAACUUUGGCGUCGCCCCUGCCAUCAAGAAACGCCUCCCCAAAGGUGCCCACCAAUCUCAACACUUCAUCGUUGUCGGUGCUGGCCUUGCCGCGGCACGGCAUUUGCUGGCGUCCGUGAUCUUAUUGGAGGGACGCAAGAAGAUGGAAGAUGAUGGGCGCUCAGCUGCUGCAUUUGGGAACCCACUCGGGAUUGUGGCUAAGCAGCUCGGCUUGCCUUGCUGA
RNAcentral lists this ribosomal RNA (477 nucleotides) under Triticum aestivum (bread wheat). Its description in RNAcentral is "partial small subunit ribosomal RNA". Lineage: Eukaryota; Viridiplantae; Streptophyta; Magnoliopsida; Poales; Poaceae. The record is from RNAcentral.